Molecule: ribosomal RNA, 465 nt
Filed under: uncultured bacterium
Lineage: Bacteria
Description: partial 16S ribosomal RNA
Rfam family: Bacterial small subunit ribosomal RNA
Source: RNAcentral
AUCGAACGCUGGCGGCAGGCCUAACACAUGCAAGUCGAACGGUAACUGCAAGCAUCUUGCUGCUUUGCUGACGAGUGGCGGGCGGGUGAGUAAUGUCUGCGGAACUGCCCGCUGGAGGGGGAUAUCUACUGGAAACGGUAGCUAAUACCGCAUAACGUCGCACGACCAAAGAGGGGGACCUUAGGGUCUCUUGCCUUCGGAUGUGCCCGGAUUGGAGUAGCUAGUUGGUGGGGUAACGGCUUACCAAGGCGACGAUCCCUAGCUGGUCUCCGAGGAUGACCAGCCACACUGGGACUGAGACACGGCCCAGACUCCUACGGGAGGCAGCAGUGGGGAAUAUUGCCCAAUGGGCUAUAGCCUGAUCCAGCAAUGCCGCGUGAGUGAUGAAGGCCUUAGGGUUGUAAAUCUCUUUUACCCGGGAUGAUAAUGACGUUACCGGGAGAAUAAGCUCCGGCUAACUCCGUG